AGGAAAAGAGAAACAGAAAGAAAGAUGAAAAAUAGUUUAGGCCAGAUAUUUGAACUAUGUUCGACCUGAUUCCUUAAAAAAUAAGGAUACGUAGGCAGCCUCACGAUUCGGUCCAGCCAAAUAAGAAUUCGAAAAAAAAAAAAAAGAGAAAAAAAUAAAAGAAAAAACCCAAAAAAAUCCCCAAUAGCUGAAACUGGGGCAGAGAUUUUAUUUCACUUUUGAAGGAGUCAAUUCCAAGAGUUGUAAGUCCAUAACCCCUCAUUAUGAGUCUAUUUUGACCUUUCAUGCCGACCCUUCUUUCCAAUCCUAUCCAAAAUCCUUCCAAAUAAAGACCUCCCGAUAUACCUUUAAGAAUGCCAAGAGAAGCAUGCAAUGAGCAACAGUUGUCACACGACAUAGAACACUGUCAAGUUGCUCAAGAAAGCAACAGAGAAAAGAGGAAGAGAAAAAAAAUGAGAGAGUCUUGCUAGUGAAAACCCUCACGUGCACUGUAAGGCGAUGGUAAGCAGAGAUGAAUAAAUGAGAGAGACUUGUAGGUGAAAAUCCCUCGGGGCACCACUAGUCAAAAGUGAAUCGUGAAGUUAAUGCAAAGAAUUGGCACAAACAAGCCCGAAUUUAAAGGUCAAAAUGGUAAAAGGGAAGAUUAGAUCAGUUUGAUAGAUCAGGCCGUUGAGUCCAAAAUGCAUGUCAUGAUCAUUAAGGCUAGUUAGUGCAAAAUAAAAAAAACGAAAAAAAAAACUCUUCCCCUAUCCUUCCCGACCGGGGCAUUUCUUGUUAAUAUUUGUUUCUUUGCGCCAUUGUGUCAUUCACCCUGAGUCAGUCCUUCUCAAAACAAGCAAGAAAAGAUUUCAAAAUCUGCUACCAGCUUUUCAGUUGUACAAAGUAAAUUUGGCCAGCAAACUCAGUUGUUAAUGUCAACAUACCUUGAGGAUUCAUACAAAGGCUCCCCCAAAAGACUCUUCAGCUUGCUUGGCGUAAACAAAGAUAACUUGUGAUUCUCUCUGAUAAACAAAUUGCUCAAAAAGUAGAAAGUCAUUCAAGAUAUCAGAAAAGGUCACCUAAGCAAAGAUCUCCAAUUGGGAUAAGGCUGAUUGAGCCACAACUACAAAUGGUACUGGGUAUGAAACAAUUAAGAUUGAUGCAGAGCAAGAGUCUCUUGAAACCGACUCAAGCUGAUUGAACAGAAGCCAAGCUGCCAAAGACGUCAAGGCCACGAACCGACCACCACUUUUGAAACUGACAAAAUUUUCUUUGUUUAAAACAGGAACAAAGCAGUGCAAGGAAAGUGGUUCAAAAAAAAAGAAGAGAAGAGAAGAUCCGACAAAGGGAAGUUUCUCAAAUCAUUGCCUUUACUUGUGUGCAUGUGCAUAAAAUUUUGCCAUUGCUUUUCACAAUUUUCCUCCUAGGAUAAAAGUCCUAGUCUGAUGGAUUUUUCUCCCAAUAAAAAUCUUAGUCUGAUGAAUUUUUCUCCUAAGAUAAGAAAAACAGUCUCAUGAAUUUUCUCCUAUGAUCAAAAUCUUAGUUUGACGAAUCUUUCUCCUAAGAUAGAAGACCUAGACUGAUAAACUUUCUCCUAGGAUAAAAAUCUUAGUCUGAUGAAUUUUUCUCCUAGGAUAAGAAAACCCAGUCUGAUGAAUUUUCUCCUAUGAUCAAAAUAGAGACCUAGUCUGAUGAAUUUUCUCCUAGGAUAAACGUCUUAGUCGGAUGAAUCUUUCUCCUAAGAUACCAAAAAAAAAAAAAAAGAAAAAGGACCUAGUCUGAUGAAUUUUUUCCUAGGAUUAACAUCUUAGUCUGAUGAAUUUUUCUCCUAAGAUAGAAAACCUAGUCUAACGAAUUUUCUUCUAGGAUAUUUUGAAAAAAAAAAAGGGAAGUCUGGAUUUGAAAAAAAAAAAGUCAAUUUUUAGUUUUCUUGAGUUAUCAAUGUUUAGUUUUCUUGAAAUCAGGCGUCCACCUGGAGAACAAGGGAAUACAUUUCAAGUUCAGCAAUCAGGCGCCCACCUGGAAAACAAGAGAAUACAUUUCAAGUUCAGCAAUCAGGCGCCACCUAGAAAACAAGGAAAUACAUUUCAAGUUGAGCAGUCAGGCGCCCACCUGGAAAACAUGGAAACACACUCAAGUUUCAGCAAUCAGGCGCCCACCUGAAGAACAAGAGAAUAUAUUUCAAGUUCAGCAAUCAAGAGCCCACCUGGAGAACAAGAGAAUACAUUCAAGUUUCAGCAAGUGGGUGUCCACCUGGAGAAAGGAAAACAUCUCCGAUUACAAUUCAAGGCGGCAACAAGGGGAUUCCACCGGGAGAAUACAAGUCAACAAGGCAACAGGAACCACAAGAGCAAGUUUGAAGAUAUAGAUAGGAUUUUGUAAUGCAUAGAUCAUAGACUAGGCUAGCUUCUUUUAUUUUAUUAUGGUGUAAUAAGGAGGUUCAACAAGCACUAGCAGCGGCAACAAUAGUGAAAUCACAGCUUUAUGGUAGUCCCAGCUACCAGACAUUCCUAAACUACAUUAACCUGAUUCCUUUCUUGCCAAGGAUAUGUAGGCAACCUCGGAAGUAGGGUGCAAUUAAAUCUUUCAAAAAUGCUUCUCAUGGAGCAUUCAAACGGGCAAAAAUCACUCAAAUUCGCUCACUUUAUCUUUGCAUGAAAACUCUUCGUGUUUUUAGCCCUAUAUGAAUUACUCUCAUAAUUUCAAAACAAAAUAAUUUCUUUUCAUUAUUUGCAAUUUUAUUGAUUUUCGUGGCAUUUUAUGUUAAAUGUUUGCAUUUGUC
RNAcentral lists this long non-coding RNA (2761 nucleotides) under Nicotiana tabacum (common tobacco). RNAcentral's name for it is "long non-coding RNA (NTAB_LNC014811)". The record is from RNAcentral. Lineage: Eukaryota; Viridiplantae; Streptophyta; Magnoliopsida; Solanales; Solanaceae.